This 160-nucleotide small nucleolar RNA is filed under the name Solanum lycopersicum (tomato). Its description in RNAcentral is "small nucleolar RNA snoR134". It matches the Rfam family "small nucleolar RNA snoR134". Lineage: Eukaryota; Viridiplantae; Streptophyta; Magnoliopsida; Solanales; Solanaceae. RNAcentral also lists the same sequence under 1 other name. The record is from Rfam by way of RNAcentral.
CUGCACGUAGCCUCCCGGGCUCAUCCGAUUUAUAUUUUUUACAUGAAGUUAGAAGCCCCAAAGCUCGUGCUAUAAGUUUUUUUGCCGUUUAGUGUUGCAGUAUUAGCCCUUUUGUACCUUUAAUCCAUGGCUUAUCUGUGUCAAAUUAACGGCUAAAUCC